This 76-nucleotide transfer RNA is filed under the name Parcubacteria group bacterium. Its description in RNAcentral is "tRNA-Thr". It matches the Rfam family "tRNA". From Rfam's summary of the family: Transfer RNA (tRNA) molecules are approximately 80 nucleotides in length. Their secondary structure includes four short double-helical elements and three loops (D, anti-codon, and T loops). Further hydrogen bonds mediate the characteristic L-shaped molecular structure. tRNAs have two regions of fundamental functional importance: the anti-codon, which is responsible for specific mRNA codon recognition, and the 3' end, to which the tRNAs corresponding amino acid is attached (by aminoacyl-tRNA synthetases). tRNAs cope with the degeneracy of the genetic code in two manners: having more than one tRNA (with a specific anti-codon) for a particular amino acid; and 'wobble' base-pairing, i.e. permitting non-standard base-pairing at the 3rd anti-codon position. RNAcentral also lists the same sequence under 1 other name. The record is from RNAcentral.
GCCACCUUAGCUCAGUUGGUAGAGCAACUCUCUUGUAAAGAGUAGGUCGUCAGUUCGACUCUGACAGGUGGCUCCA